UGCUGCCCCUGGUUGCAAAGAC
This 22-nucleotide ribosomal RNA is filed under the name Encephalartos lanatus. RNAcentral's name for it is "partial 18S rRNA". Lineage: Eukaryota; Viridiplantae; Streptophyta; Cycadopsida; Cycadales; Zamiaceae. The record is from RNAcentral.